Molecule: ribosomal RNA, 770 nt
Filed under: Meloidogyne sp. l HL-2023
Lineage: Eukaryota; Metazoa; Nematoda; Chromadorea; Rhabditida; Meloidogynidae
Description: partial large subunit ribosomal RNA
Rfam family: Eukaryotic large subunit ribosomal RNA
Source: RNAcentral
UACAAGUACCGUGAGGAAAGUUGCAAAGCACUUUGAAGAGAGAGUUAAAGAGGACGUGAAACCGGUGAGGUGGAAACGGAUAGAGCCGGCGUAUCUGGCAUGUAUUCAAACAUCAUAAUUUUGCGCUCAAUUGUUGGCACUCCAGAUUGGGACGAUGAUUGUUUGUCAAAAAUAUGCAUGUUGCAUUUGCAUGUGGAGUGCGCAGAGGCAUUUGGUGCGGCGAUACGAGUUCGGCUUCGAGGCCAGCUUGCUGGUACCCAAGUCGUUUGAGUACCGUUCGAGCCAAGUGUAUUCGUAUGGUUUCGGACUCGAUUGGACAUCGCGCUUUUUGUCUGCGGCGGUCGCAUGCGACACGUGCAGUCUACUAGCGUGGUCCCAGUUGAGUUCCCAUGCGAGUUCUCUGCGUAAAAGCUGGUCAUCUAUCCGACCCGUCUUGAAACACGGACCAAGGAGUUUAUCGUGUGCGCGAGCCAUUGGGCGUUCAAAACCCAGAGGCGCAAUGAAAGUGAACGUUCUCGUAAGAGACUGAUGUGCGACCCGUUGUGCCUCGGCUCAGCGGUGCAGCAUGGCCCCAUCCCAAUUGCUUGCAAUGGGGUGGCGGAAGAGCGUGCGCGGUGAGACCCGAAAGAUGGUGAACUAUUCCUGAGCAGGAUGAAGCCAGAGGAAACUCUGGUGGAAGUCCGAAGCGAUUCUGACGUGCAAAUCGAUCGUCUGACUUGGGUAUAGGGGCGAAAGACUAAUCGAACCAUCUAGUAGCUGGUUCCUUCCGA